ACGUGCACGCUAUGCGUCCUGCGCGCCUUCCACGCCCGCCUGACGACUGCUCGCCACGUUUCGGUAUCU
Molecule: small RNA, 69 nt
Filed under: Xanthomonas vasicola
Lineage: Bacteria; Pseudomonadati; Pseudomonadota; Gammaproteobacteria; Lysobacterales; Lysobacteraceae
Also listed under: 4 other names
Description: sX9
Source: RNAcentral